UUUACUUAUGUACAGGGAGAGAAAGAACUGGAAUGGGACAGAGAAGUUUAGAAUGGCAGCUGCACCAGAAUGACACGCAAAUUCGUGGGUUGUUCCAUGUUUUU
Molecule: small nuclear RNA, 104 nt
Organism: Oryctolagus cuniculus (rabbit)
Lineage: Eukaryota; Metazoa; Chordata; Mammalia; Lagomorpha; Leporidae
Source: Ensembl